This 253-nucleotide ribosomal RNA is filed under the name uncultured bacterium. RNAcentral describes it as "partial 16S ribosomal RNA". It matches the Rfam family "Bacterial small subunit ribosomal RNA", at positions 524 to 776 of the family's 1533-position model. The record is from RNAcentral.
UACGAAGGGGACUAGCGUUGUUCGGAAUCACUGGGCGUAAAGCGCACGUAGGCGGAUUCGUAAGUCAGGGGUGAAAUCCCGGGGCUCAACCUCGGAACUGCCUUUGAUACUGCGGGUCUUGAGUCCGAUAGAGGUGGGUGGAAUUCCUAGUGUAGAGGUGAAAUUCGUAGAUAUUAGGAAGAACACCGGUGGCGAAGGCGGCCCACUGGAGCGGUACUGACGCUGAGGUGCGAAAGCGUGGGGAGCGAACAGG